UGCCGGAUGGUGAAAUGGCAUCACAGGUGACUCUGAAUCACCUAUUCUAGGUUCGAAUCCUAGUCCGGCAACCA
RNAcentral lists this transfer RNA (74 nucleotides) under Candidatus Beckwithbacteria bacterium. RNAcentral's name for it is "tRNA-Gln". It matches the Rfam family "tRNA". Rfam says of the family: Transfer RNA (tRNA) molecules are approximately 80 nucleotides in length. Their secondary structure includes four short double-helical elements and three loops (D, anti-codon, and T loops). The record is from RNAcentral. Lineage: Bacteria; Candidatus Beckwithiibacteriota.